This 1541-nucleotide ribosomal RNA is filed under the name Escherichia coli. RNAcentral describes it as "bacterial SSU rRNA". It matches the Rfam family "Bacterial small subunit ribosomal RNA". Lineage: Bacteria; Pseudomonadati; Pseudomonadota; Gammaproteobacteria; Enterobacterales; Enterobacteriaceae. The record is from RNAcentral.
AAAUUGAAGAGUUUGAUCAUGGCUCAGAUUGAACGCUGGCGGCAGGCCUAACACAUGCAAGUCGAACGGUAACAGGAAACAGCUUGCUGUUUCGCUGACGAGUGGCGGACGGGUGAGUAAUGUCUGGGAAACUGCCCGAUGGAGGGGGAUAACUACUGGAAACGGUAGCUAAUACCGCAUAACGUCGCAAGACCAAAGAGGGGGACCUUCGGGCCUCUUGCCAUCGGAUGUGCCCAGAUGGGAUUAGCUAGUAGGUGGGGUAAAGGCUCACCUAGGCGACGAUCCCUAGCUGGUCUGAGAGGAUGACCAGCCACACUGGAACUGAGACACGGUCCAGACUCCUACGGGAGGCAGCAGUGGGGAAUAUUGCACAAUGGGCGCAAGCCUGAUGCAGCCAUGCCGCGUGUAUGAAGAAGGCCUUCGGGUUGUAAAGUACUUUCAGCGGGGAGGAAGGGAGUAAAGUUAAUACCUUUGCUCAUUGACGUUACCCGCAGAAGAAGCACCGGCUAACUCCGUGCCAGCAGCCGCGGUAAUACGGAGGGUGCAAGCGUUAAUCGGAAUUACUGGGCGUAAAGCGCACGCAGGCGGUUUGUUAAGUCAGAUGUGAAAUCCCCGGGCUCAACCUGGGAACUGCAUCUGAUACUGGCAAGCUUGAGUCUCGUAGAGGGGGGUAGAAUUCCAGGUGUAGCGGUGAAAUGCGUAGAGAUCUGGAGGAAUACCGGUGGCGAAGGCGGCCCCCUGGACGAAGACUGACGCUCAGGUGCGAAAGCGUGGGGAGCAAACAGGAUUAGAUACCCUGGUAGUCCACGCCGUAAACGAUGUCGACUUGGAGGUUGUGCCCUUGAGGCGUGGCUUCCGGAGCUAACGCGUUAAGUCGACCGCCUGGGGAGUACGGCCGCAAGGUUAAAACUCAAAUGAAUUGACGGGGGCCCGCACAAGCGGUGGAGCAUGUGGUUUAAUUCGAUGCAACGCGAAGAACCUUACCUGGUCUUGACAUCCACGGAAGUUUUCAGAGAUGAGAAUGUGCCUUCGGGAACCGUGAGACAGGUGCUGCAUGGCUGUCGUCAGCUCGUGUUGUGAAAUGUUGGGUUAAGUCCCGCAACGAGCGCAACCCUUAUCCUUUGUUGCCAGCGGUCCGGCCGGGAACUCAAAGGAGACUGCCAGUGAUAAACUGGAGGAAGGUGGGGAUGACGUCAAGUCAUCAUGGCCCUUACGACCAGGGCUACACACGUGCUACAAUGGCGCAUACAAAGAGAAGCGACCUCGCGAGAGCAAGCGGACCUCAUAAAGUGCGUCGUAGUCCGGAUUGGAGUCUGCAACUCGACUCCAUGAAGUCGGAAUCGCUAGUAAUCGUGGAUCAGAAUGCCACGGUGAAUACGUUCCCGGGCCUUGUACACACCGCCCGUCACACCAUGGGAGUGGGUUGCAAAAGAAGUAGGUAGCUUAACCUUCGGGAGGGCGCUUACCACUUUGUGAUUCAUGACUGGGGUGAAGUCGUAACAAGGUAACCGUAGGGGAACCUGCGGUUGGAUCACCUCCUU